RNAcentral lists this transfer-messenger RNA (452 nucleotides) under Candidatus Gracilibacteria bacterium HOT-871. It matches the Rfam family "transfer-messenger RNA". Rfam says of the family: Bacterial tmRNA, also known as 10Sa RNA or SsrA, is named for its dual tRNA and mRNA-like properties. Its role is to liberate the mRNA from a stalled ribosome. The record is from RNAcentral. RNAcentral also lists the same sequence under 2 other names. Lineage: Bacteria; Candidatus Altimarinota.
GGGGACAUUUAUGGUUUCUAUUGAAAGAUUCGUCCAGAUUAUAUGCUUUCAGGGAGCUGUCUUUGGCUUCCUUGAUCAAACAAAGACAAAGAUAACUGCAAAAAAUAGAAUUGCAAAAGGUCUAGCUGCUUUCAAAACUAGCUUUGCUCCUGUAAGUGUUGUUGCUUAAUAGCCUUCUAACUUACGAAACGUAGCCUUUGCUUAGCAAUGAUGUCAUAUGACUGCUACAACAUUUUUAAAAGAGUAAAUCUUGGACUUUUUUAAGAAUUAUUUACCAAGAUUUGUAAAAUAAUUUUUUGAAAUUUUCUUUGUUUUACAAUAUUAGAAAAAUUUUAUUUUGAAAUACUUUUUGUUUGUUUUUUAUUUUUCAAAAUUAAUUAAAAUAAACUAUGAAAGUAGAUGUAUUUUCUUGGCCUUUCAAGACAUGGGUUCAAAUCCCAUUGUCUCCACCA